AAUCCCGCCUCCUUGGAGCUUCUGAAUAUAUGCCUGCCAUCAGGGAGGCUAGGGCUAGUUCUUGAAGUAAUUCUCAAUGCCCUGAAAUAAUUGUUGUAGCAACCCCAUCCCUACCUUCCCUGGACCUACUUAAAAAAGGCCUGUGUGCCCUGACAGAAGGCAAAAGUGAGGCUGUGUCUGGCCUACCGCCAUCCAUUCCUGGUGGUUAAAAUGCCAUGUUCAAGUAGAUGUUAUCACCAGAUCAACAUGAAGCUGAAAAGUAGAAGCAGGGUUCUGUACGCAUCUGUCCCCGACGCUUGUCAACAUUUUUAUGAAAGCAGAUAAGCUGAUGUUUGCUUCAUUAAAUAUAUUAAUAUCAUGCUAAUAAUCAGGCUACAUUGGACCAGGAGAAAAGUCUUCAUAGAUACAGAUUCCAAUUUUGUGAGAAGUAUUAUCCAUAUGAAAAGAGAAUAAAUACACAAGUUUAAAUGGGGAAAUAAUCAGAACCAAGAGAAACUUAAUUCAUAUAAGACGGAAUUACUGUAGGCUGAUGGUCCAUCUGCAUUGGGAUGAGAUGUGCAGCCCAUUUCUGAAUGGGGCUACCCUUCAGUUGAAAGGUCAGGCUUAUAGUGUAUGGGUGCCUUUUCAUUUGUUGCUACUUUUUGGAAGAUCAGCAGAUGGUAGUGACUACCUUUUAACAUUCUGUGCCCUUCCUGGAGAAGUCACACGUGUCAUGCUCUAGUCAUCUCAGUUGGUAGAGCAUGAGACUCUUAAUCUCAGGGUUGUGGGUUCUAGCCCCACGUUGGACAAAUGCAGGGGGUUGGACUAGAUGACCCUUGUGGUCCCUUCCAACUCUACAAGUCUAUGAGUUUAUGAUUCUACCUCCAGGCUCAACUACUGUAACACACUGUAUGUGAGGCUGCCCAUGAAUAUCUGGGCACUGGUACCAUGCUACUGACAUAAUUAAUUGGGGCAUAUCAGUACAAUCGUAUUCCAUUUACCGGUACUUGGGUCACCUGUUUGUCUCUAGUAAUAACUGAAGGUGCUGGUUUUAAUCUUAAUAUUGGAGGCCUUGUUCCAGGUGAGCAGCAGGGCAUUUUCAGUUAUGGUACCAACUUUGUGGAAUACCCUCCUCAGAAAGGCCUAUACCUACAGUAUAUGGUUACUAAACUGUUUCAGACAUUGGGCCAAAUCCCAACUGUUUCAAAAAGUCUCUGAGUUAAAUUUAAAACUGUUUGAUUGUUGUUGUUUCAGUUCUGUUGGGUUGUUUGCUUGGAUUAUUAUAUAUGGUUAUAUUUAUGCUGUUUUUUAAUUGCUGCUGUAGCUCUUGCUUUUCCUGUUUUUCCUCUAUAUAUUGUUUCCCUGUUGAUUUAUGUCUUUCAUUGUUCCAGUGAUUCUAUAGCGUUAGCCAUUUUGGGUUGCCUUUUGACAAGAUAAGGCAGGAUAUAAUUUUUUGAAAAAAAAAUAGUAAAGUGGCCAGGCUAUUCAGAAGGACAUGGAGAUUUUAAUGAAGCACAAAUUGAUCACACGUCUUCAACGACUUGCUGUUGUAUUAGGAUAAUUGUAACCUAUCAAAAACAUUUAAUCCGGUACUUUGAAAACAAUAAUACAGAUGUGCUUGUUUCUUUUGCAAUAGGUUGCGGUUUUUAAUAUAAUUCUUAAAAUUACUGAAAAUGCAAGACAUGUUGGAGGAUGCUUGGCCUAAAGAAUAAAGUGUUAAGGCAAUGUGAUUAUGGGAGUUGAAUAAGGAGGUAGAAUACAUGAUAUUUGCUACUGAUGUUGAGAUAAGAGGUGAUGUGAAAGAGAUACAAGCAAGGAUAAAAUUCCUAACUUUUCAGGAACAAAUUCUCUGGCAAACUGCAGAAUUGGCUUCAUUAGAUAUUUUGAAAUGGAAAUGGUUAAGAAACCAUCUGAAAUUAUUUGGUCUAGCAGAUCCUACCUCCUUUCUAGUACAUUUAGUUUUUUUCUGUCCAUUUUUUAUUAAGUGCAGUUUAUUAAGUCCAAAUCCAGACAAACCUGGAUAAGCUUAAGUAUGAUUUCGGGAAAUGAGUCAGGCUUGAAAACCACAAUUUUACAUUGUCU
This 2061-nucleotide long non-coding RNA is filed under the name Podarcis lilfordi (Lilford's wall lizard). The stretch from base 716 to 788 matches the Rfam family "tRNA". The record is from RNAcentral. Lineage: Eukaryota; Metazoa; Chordata; Lepidosauria; Squamata; Lacertidae.